RNAcentral lists this small RNA (203 nucleotides) under Lupinus albus (white lupine). Lineage: Eukaryota; Viridiplantae; Streptophyta; Magnoliopsida; Fabales; Fabaceae. The record is from RNAcentral.
CGUCGAAUUCCGACGUACGAUCCUAAAGUUACGCCAAGAACGGAUAAUUACGACUUAAAGCAUUUGAUCGCGCGUACACAUGCAGGUGCGAUCAUACCAGCACUAAUGCACCGGAUCCCAUCAGAACUCCGCAGUUAAGCGUGCUUGGGCGAUAGUAGUACUAGGAUGGGUGACCUCCUGGGAAGUCCUCGUGUUGCAACUCU